CACUGACUCUCUCUGCCGUUGAUCAUGAUACCUGCGUGUUGAUGAUCGUGGAAAGGCAGGGUGCGAUCGUCACUUUACCAUUCUCUUCCUCCCCUUUCUCUCUCCCUCAGAUCCCAUCUGCUCACCUAAAAUCCCCAGAUCGAACAUUCUCCAUCUCAAAUAAAAAAACUUUCCCCCUUCAAAACCCAUAGAAUCAGCACUCAUGGAAUAAUCAUGGAUUUUUGUUGAGUCGACCUUCUGGUGAUAAAAUCGUGAUGUGACCAUCGUAUUCUCUCUCACGGCUCACAACGAUGAAAUCGCACAGGACUUCGUUGAUUUUUGUCAACUCCGACCACGACCAGUGUCAUUAUGAUUAGACGAUUCGGAUGCGCCUAAUAAACAAACCUAAUUUGCCUCGCGCGUUCAAUCAUCUCCUUCCUUCGUCUAAAACCUCACACAGAGACAGAGAUACCCCAAAACCCUAAACGCCCAAAGUAUUAAUCACAAAGUUACGGAGCUGAAAUUGCAAACGCUAUCAUGGCUGCCUUAAAAAAUAAGAAGAACGUGUUUGUGAAGUCAGUUUCGACGAAGAAGCAGGCUAAUAUGGACCAUAUCACAGGGGAUAAAAUCCCAAUGAGGUUUGUGUUUUCCAGAUGCAAGUUGCCUGGUCCUCUAAAGCAGCUUCAAGCUGAUUUGAGGAAACUGGUGCUUCCCUACACUGCCUUUAAGCUUAAGGAGAAGAGGCGGAACAAUCUUAGAGACUUUUUUAAUGUGGCUGGGCCUAUGGGGGUUACACAUUUCCUCAUGUUGUCGAAAACUCCAAUUGCGCCAUACCUUAGGGGUGCAGAUCCUGAUUUACAAGGAAGAACAGAAACGGAUAUAACAACAGUGAGACCGAAUGGGAGAUCCAAUGAAAACAAACAGCAAUGGAUAAACCGAGGCCGGUAGAUUUCAACUGCCUCACAACCGCCGCCAGAGAGGUCUGAUUGUCCAGAGCGCUGCCUCUUCCUCCGCCAACACCGCUGUGUCAGAUGUUAAGCUGUAGCUCUAGGAGGACCACAGCAAUGGCUUCAAUCCCAUCCUCCACUUUUGCUUCUGGAUCGACUUGGGAAAGAACAGAGGAGAGCACAAGCAUUAUCAAUUUAUUUGCUAUAGAGUUUGUCAGGGAGAAAGUUCGUGAACGAUAGAAAUCUAAUCGAGAGGGCUGGAUGAAAAGAAACAUCCAUCAGAGCUUUCAACAACUCGAAGGGAGUACAUACUUUGUAUGCCAUGGAUAGGGAAUGGAUACGUAAUUAGAUCAAUUGAUGGGUGCUGCUGUUUUGGAUAUCUACAUCCAGCAAUACCUGUUCGAAGCUUGAAUCUCACCAAGCUUCAGUUAUUGUUUCAAAGGGUGAAAAAGAGUGGGGGACACAAGAAGAGGGGAGAAAGAGGACAAAAGAAUGGUUUGUUCUACUUUCAAUGCUUUGGGUUAAAAAAAGAAAAAAGAGCAUGUGGUGUGGAAACACACCAGCGAAGCCUCACUUUCGAUGUCGAACUCAAGUGUGGCUCUAAUCUAGCCCCCGAAAUUCCAACCUAGCAUGUAGCAAUGCAUUAUGUUUUCCUGUGUGAUCUUCAUACAAAGGUGCAAGACAUAUGAGCUUCUAAUCAAGAAAGACCUGCUUUUAAAUCCCACUGUGUGUUCUAAGUGCUGGAUGGGUUGUGCUUUUACCAACCCUAAUAAAAUUAUAUUUGAAUCAUGCUGUCUGAUAACUCUUUUUCUUUUUUUCCUGUUUGUGGUUUUUAGUCUUUGUCAUUUAAUUGGUAUAGCUUUGCUAGGAUCUCUGUUCCGGCAGUGUGUGAUUAGUGCUAAUGGAAUUUCAGCACUGUUUCUGAGCUAUUGCUCGAAUUGUUGUAUCUAAGUAUGCAUUAUACAUUCAAUUGAGCCAAUGAAGCAUGUGUGCCAACGAAUUUUGAAGAGUUCGGCUGGGUUUUCUCUCUUUGGUCUUUAAUAUUUAUGUGUGAGACACCUGUUUGUUGACUAAUUGAGUCCAUUCUCUUAAGUUUUUCAGUAGAUAUUGUGUAAUUUGCUUUUAUGAGCACUUCUUUAAGCUGUCAAGUUCCCAAAGUGUACAAGGAGAUAUCAAGUUUAACAAGUCACAAACUAUGAUCAAUCCAAAUACAAUGAAAUUAUUGAUUUUACACUUAUAAACUUAGUUAGCUUUAGACCAUAGGAUUAGCAUUUUGCGCAUGUGAGUAUCAUUGACCUGCUCAUUUUAUUUUUCUGGAUAAGAAACAAAUUGUCAUUGAAGGGAGAAGAAAGUGUACAAAAACAAAGUUUCUGUAAGCUUGCAUUCAUAUGCCUAAUAUUUUAAUUUC
Long non-coding RNA from Pyrus x bretschneideri (Chinese white pear), 2334 nucleotides. RefSeq lists it as uncharacterized. NCBI's taxonomy places the organism in Eukaryota, Viridiplantae, Streptophyta, Magnoliopsida, Rosales, Rosaceae. The transcript has 15 exons. The record is from RefSeq and is a predicted model, not a curated record.